GUAACAAGGUUUCCGUAGGUGAACCUGCGGAAGGAUCAUUACUGAGUGAGGGCCCUCUGGGUCCAACCUCCCACCCGUGUUUAUUGUACCUUGUUGCUUCGGUGCGCCCGCCUCACGGCCGCCGGGGGGCUUCUGCCCCCGGGUCCGCGCGCACCGGAGACACCAUUGAACUCUGUCUGAAGAUUGCAGUCUGAGCAUAAACUAAAUAAGUUAAAACUUUCAACAACGGAUCUCUUGGUUCCGGCAUCGAUGAAGAACGCAGCGAAAUGCGAUAACUAAUGUGAAUUGCAGAAUUCAGUGAAUCAUCGAGUCUUUGAACGCACAUUGCGCCCCCUGGUAUUCCGGGGGGCAUGCCUGUCCGAGCGUCAUUGCUGCCCUCAAGCACGGCUUGUGUGUUGGGCUCCGUCCCCCCGGGGACGGGUCCGAAAGGCAGCGGCGGCACCGAGUCCGGUCCUCGAGCGUAUGGGGCUUUGUCACCCGCUCUGUAGGCCCGGCCGGCGCCAGCCGACAACCAAUCAUCCUUUUCAGGUUGACCUCGGAUCAGGUAGGGAUACCCGCUGAACUUA
Molecule: ribosomal RNA, 566 nt
Filed under: Penicillium spinulosum
Lineage: Eukaryota; Fungi; Ascomycota; Eurotiomycetes; Eurotiales; Aspergillaceae
Description: eukaryotic LSU rRNA
Rfam family: 5.8S ribosomal RNA (bases 215-368)
Source: RNAcentral